RNAcentral lists this long non-coding RNA (303 nucleotides) under Ananas comosus (pineapple). Its description in RNAcentral is "long non-coding RNA (ACOM_LNC028138)". Lineage: Eukaryota; Viridiplantae; Streptophyta; Magnoliopsida; Poales; Bromeliaceae. The record is from RNAcentral.
UGAGUGAAGGGUUGAGGAGGAAUUUUGAAGGAUGAGGAGGUAAGGUCGAGUUAUGGGUCAGCUAUAGUGUUGAAGCUUUAGCAGGUGGUGGGAUCACAGAUGGGACCAAAAGAGCAUCUCUGUAGGAGACGUUAUGGCGAACACGUGUUCCACUAGUGGAGCGGAGAGAAUGGGUAUGGUGUAGGGUAUGUAGAGGAAAACGACUGGUAUGGGGAUGGGGAUGUGGGUUCAAGGGAGCGCCAGGGUGAGUAGAUGCUCUGGGAGGAGGAUGAGGGAGCCGCCGUAUUUUUUACAGAUUAAUAU